This 240-nucleotide unclassified non-coding RNA is filed under the name soil metagenome. RNAcentral describes it as "partial contains 5.8S ribosomal RNA, internal transcribed spacer 2, and large subunit ribosomal RNA". The record is from RNAcentral.
AACACUGUUAACCUGCGGUACCUGCGGAGGGAUCAUUACAGAGUUGCAAAACUCCCUAAACCAUUGUGAACGUUACCUAAACCGUUACUUCGGCGGGCGGCCCGGGUCCUUCCCGGCGCCCAUCGGCCCUCGCGGGCGCCCGCCGGAGGUAAACCAAACUAUUGCAUUGUAUGGCCUCUCUGAGUCUUCUGUACUGAAUAAGUCAAAACUUUCAACAACGGAUCUCAGAUCGGAAGAGCA